RNAcentral lists this small RNA (1306 nucleotides) under Arabidopsis thaliana (thale cress). RNAcentral describes it as "ATSL212760". The record is from RNAcentral. Lineage: Eukaryota; Viridiplantae; Streptophyta; Magnoliopsida; Brassicales; Brassicaceae.
AAAUAAGUGAAAUAAAUUAAAGAUUAUUAUGUAUACUUAUAUUUAGAACCAACAAAUUUAAAGAGAAUUUUUUGACAUAUAGAUGACACAUGUCGAAUAAAUAGAGCGCCACUUGUCAGCUUUUUGGAGCAUAAGUUUGAGGAAACCUUACUUUAUUAUAUAAGAUUAAUACUAAAGACAUCUAUCAACUUUUAUCCAAUGAAGAUGCUCUAAGCCACCCAAUGACCCAAAUUACUUGAAACCACAACUUUGCUUGUGUUUUUUUUGGGCAUUUCUAAGUUAUAACACGGAAGGUGAUAAUCCAAAAAAACUCUUUGAUUGUGGUUAGAUGUAAAACUAAGCAAAUAAAUGUAUUGAAACGAAAGCCAUACUCAUCCGCACUAACUAUUUUUCAGUUGCUCAUUUUUUUAAUUUCUAUUCUCAAACCUUCAGCUUGAUGUUGCAUUUAUUGUAAAACAGUAUUUUUUUGGUGAAUAAAUUUAACAUUCAUACCAAAAAGAAAAUACUCUAACAUAUGUUAAAAGAAAUUUUCAUCGUAGACACCUUUCUAACUUUUUCUUUCACAAAGAGACAAAGUGGGCUGGCCCAACCAGAUUUUAGUCAUUCAGCCAAAAAUGGACAAAUUUGCUCUGGAACGAGAAAUGAAAGGAGGCGGUUCAGUUUCGUUUCUUUAUUUUUCUGGUUACCAAAAUUUAAAUUUAAAAUUAAAUCAAAAACACGUUAUUAACUUUCUGGAACCAAAGGAAAUCAAAAACUGUUUGUCGAAGACGAAGAACAAUUCCGACGAAACACAAACUCCGAUCGAAAGUGAAAUUUUGAUUGAGGCUCUGUGCGAGUUCUGGUCGUUGCUUAAGUUGAGGAAAUUUCGAUCGACAAACGUGAUAAAGGAUAACAAAAAGAGGAUUUUCUGGUUUCUUGAAUUAUUGUUCAUACUCAAAUGGCGGAGAUGAAGAUGAGUAGUCGGCGGCGAGGAGUUUCGGAUGUUAAUGAGUUAACAAGCGGCUGCAAAAUUAGGGUUGCAGAGGUUGAAGACGAGUGCAAAAUUACAAUUAUACCUUUCAUUAAAAAAAUUUGUAUGUAUAUGUAAUUUACGGUAUACGUACACACACAUUACUACAUACAUUACUACCGUGUACGUACACAUUACUACCGUGUAUGUACAAAUUACUACCGUGUACAUACACAUUACUACCGUGUACGUACAUAUUACUACCGUGUACGUAUAUAUUAUUACCGUUACGCACAUAUGUUUAUAUGAUAUUGCUAAUCGUGAAUUGUUUUCAAAUGAUAAUAAAUAAAAUAUUAU